AUUUCUCUCCUAUCCGCCAUCCUGGUUCCUCCCUUCCCCCCACCUCCCAACUCUGUGCCCCGCCAACGUUUCCUAAAUGCCCUCUAUUCAGAUCCCCCCUCCGCCUCCCCUCUCCUCUCCUCCAUUCCUGCGUCCCCCUUCCCCCGCCGCGCCGCCUGGGCUGUCCGUGGACUUCUCCCACUCUCUCACUCUCUCACUCACUCUCUCUCUCUCUCUCUCUCUCUCACUCUCUCUCUCUCUCUCCCCCUCAUUUAUUUGGAACCGUUGGAUAAGAAGUGCUCGGGCUCUCGCUCAGACUUAGGGAGCUGCCUCGAGGUGAUGAAUGACACCCCCUGGCACCAGCUACCCUUCUCAGACCCCAGUCCAGCCCGCUCCCGACGUCGACUACGAUUCCGCUACCUCGGCUGGCAGCGAGGUUGGGGUGAGCCCCAGCUGCAGGCGCGUCUGGGCUGCGCCGCUGCAAACGAGUUGCGCACCUUGGGCGGCUCCGCACCUGCACCCGCACCCGCGGGGCUCAGCCCCGAAGGCUGCAGCUUCGGGGGAGGCGCGGUCGCCGAGGUCCAGCUGGUGGGGCGAGAGACGUCGCCCCUCGGAGGAUGCUCUCGGAACUUGGGAGAGGAAGGAGGGAAGAGAAGAGGGGAAAGGGGCCGUCGAUGUUUUUGAUGUCUGUGCUUUAAUGGAGGCCACCAAUAUUGAGAAGACGGGGUUGGCCGAGGCAGCCCGCACGCUGCUGCUUGCGAGCGCUCGAGUCAAAGCUAGGGCCAACCGCGGCUUGUCCGGGUGCCCUAAGGGGGCGGACACUUGGUUUAGCACCGGGACACAGAAUAGCCACCGGGGUAGGAAGAUGCGUUCACUUUGCUUACCUGUUGGCAAGAGGGACAUACAAAAAUAACGUAACGUGACAUCGUUGACAACGGUAGCUCUUUGAUUACACAAAAGCCAAUUUUACCUUCCCGCAAAAGCCAGUUGACGCCUUUGGAACUUUUAUUUGCGGCAUUUUGGCGCCCUCUGGCUGUGUUUGGAUCGCUUUCAUGCUCGCCUGCGUCCCAGCCAAGAAAAAAUCGAUGGAGCUGCAGGUUGUCCUCAGGAUGGUUCUGCCCUCAGGACCUGGGCGUGAAUUCAGGGACAGGGUGGCCCUCCAGAACCGGAGUGACAAACUGUAACCAUACUUAGGGAGGCAGACGUCAAAGGCAAGUACAUCUGUAUUCAACUGGGUAAAGCCAUGUGAAGACGUGCCUGCCUCCCUGUUACCUUCCACCAUGAUUGUAAGCUUCCUGAGGCCUCCCCAGCCAUGCCUGCUGUAUAGCCUGCAGAACAGUGAGUCAAUUAAACUUCUUCUUUUUAUAAGUUAUCCAGUCUCAGGUAGUUCUUUAUGGCAAUGUGAGAACAGAACAGACUAGUACAGGCCUUUAAAGAAGUAAUUAGGCUAGGUGCGGUGGCUCACGCCUGUAAUCCCAACACUUUGGGAGGCUGAGGCGGGCGGAUCACGAGGUCAGGAGAUCGAGACCAUCCUGGCCAACAGGGUGAAACCCCGUCUCUACUAAAAAUACAAAAAAAAUUAGCCAGGUAUGGUGGUGCACGCCCGUAGUCCCAGCUACUCAGGAGGCUGAGGCAGGGGAACAGCUUGAACCUGGGAGGUGGAGGUUGCAGUGAGCCGAGAUCGCGCCACUGCACUCCAGCCUGGAGCCACAGCAAGACUGCGUCUCAAAAAAAAAAAAAGAAAAAGAAAAAAAGAAGUAAUUAAAGUAAAAUGAAGUCUUAUAUUGGGCUCUAAUCUGACAUGCCUGGUGUUCGUAUAAGAAAAGAAUAUCAGGACAGAGACACAGAAGAUCAUGUGAGGACAUAGAGGAAAUGUAAUGAUCUGUAAGUCAAAGAGCAGUUUCAGAAGAAACCGAAGCUGCCAACACCUUAAUCUUGGACUUUCAACCUCCAUAAUUGUGAGAAAUAGAUUUUUAUUGCUUAAGCCACACAGUUUGUGGUGUUUGGUUAUGGCAACCCUAGUAAACUAAUAUAGCGACCAUAUUUUCCAAACUAGAAAUUGAGACAUGUGGCUUGACAAGUACAAGUGAUUUAUAGACUCAAUUGACUAGAAUACCCUAUAUUUGAAACCCAGCCAUAUCUAAUUCAUAGUUAAUUCACAAACUUACUUCCAAACAGGACUUUACUUAAUCCUAGAAAAAUACUGUUACUCAACUCUUUAUAAACUCUUAGGAAAUGGGGUUCUAUUCCUACCCCUGAAAAUAUACCAAAUCCCAAGUUCUGCAACUGAAAUUUUAACACCAUGC
Molecule: long non-coding RNA, 2285 nt
Filed under: Homo sapiens (human)
Lineage: Eukaryota; Metazoa; Chordata; Mammalia; Primates; Hominidae
Description: non-protein coding BASP1-AS1:28
Source: RNAcentral